Molecule: transfer RNA, 76 nt
Filed under: Mycoplasma nasistruthionis
Lineage: Bacteria; Bacillati; Mycoplasmatota; Mollicutes; Mycoplasmatales; Mycoplasmataceae
Description: tRNA-His
Rfam family: tRNA
About the family: Transfer RNA (tRNA) molecules are approximately 80 nucleotides in length. Their secondary structure includes four short double-helical elements and three loops (D, anti-codon, and T loops). Further hydrogen bonds mediate the characteristic L-shaped molecular structure. tRNAs have two regions of fundamental functional importance: the anti-codon, which is responsible for specific mRNA codon recognition, and the 3' end, to which the tRNAs corresponding amino acid is attached (by aminoacyl-tRNA synthetases). tRNAs cope with the degeneracy of the genetic code in two manners: having more than one tRNA (with a specific anti-codon) for a particular amino acid; and 'wobble' base-pairing, i.e. permitting non-standard base-pairing at the 3rd anti-codon position.
Source: RNAcentral
GCGAAUGUGGUGAAGCGGUUAACACAGCGGGUUGUGGUCCCGUGAUGCGCGAGUUCGAAUCUCGUCAUUCGCCCCA